AGCUCCAAUAGCGUAUAUUAAAGUUGUUGCGGUUAAAAAGCUCGUAGUUGGAUUUCUGCUGAAAACGACUGGUCCGCUCUCUGAGCGUGUAUGAAGCUUGGUUUCGGCAUAUUCGUAGGAAGUGUAGCUGCGCUUCGUUGCACGGCGCACCACCCGCGUACUUUACUUUGAGGAAAUUAGAGUGUUCACGGCAGGCGAUCGUUUUGGAUACAUUAGCAUGGAAUAAUAUGAUAGAAUUUUGGUUUUAUUUUUUGGUUACUAGAACUAAGGUAAUUUUCAAUAGGGAUAGUCGGGGGCAUUUGUAUUAACGCGUCAGAGGUGGAAUUCUUAGAUUGCGUUACGACAAACGA
This 350-nucleotide ribosomal RNA is filed under the name uncultured eukaryote. Its description in RNAcentral is "SSU rRNA". It matches the Rfam family "Eukaryotic small subunit ribosomal RNA", at positions 587 to 942 of the family's 1831-position model. The record is from RNAcentral.